UGCAAAGGUAGCAUAAUCAUUAGUCUUUUAAUAGGAGGCUGGAAUGAAAGGUUUAACGAAGUACUAACUGUCUCAUUUUUAUAUUAGAAUUUAAUUUUUAAGUGAAAAAGCUUAAAUUUUGUUGGAAGACGAGAAGACCCUAUAGAGCUUUAUAACCAGUUUUCAAAAUAUUUUUAGUUAAAUAUUUUAUUUUUAUUAAAUGGGUUAUUUUGUUGGGGUGACAAAAAUAUAUAAUUAACUCUUAUUAUUCUAUUGACCAUAAAUUUAUGAUUAUUGGAUCCAAUAAUAUUGAUCGUUAGUCUAAGUUACCUUAGGGAUAACAGCGUAAUCUUCCCUCAGAGUUCAAAUUUACGGGANGGCUUGCGACCUCGAUGUUGGAUUAAGAUAAUAGUUGGGUGUAGAAGCUUGAUUAAUAGGUCUGUUCGACCUUUAAAUUCUUA
Molecule: ribosomal RNA, 440 nt
Filed under: Labidiosticta vallisi
Lineage: Eukaryota; Metazoa; Arthropoda; Insecta; Odonata; Isostictidae
Description: partial 16S ribosomal RNA
Rfam family: Bacterial large subunit ribosomal RNA
Source: RNAcentral